RNAcentral lists this ribosomal RNA (252 nucleotides) under uncultured bacterium. RNAcentral's name for it is "partial 16S ribosomal RNA". It matches the Rfam family "Bacterial small subunit ribosomal RNA", at positions 524 to 776 of the family's 1533-position model. The record is from RNAcentral.
UACGUAUGGUGCAAGCGUUGUCCGGAAUUACUGGGCGUAAAGAGUUCGUAGGUGGUUAAAUUAGUCAGAAGUGAAAGGCUACGGCUCAACCGUAGUAAGCUUUUGAAACUGUUUAACUUGAGUAUUGGAGAGGAAAGUGGAAUUCCUAGUGUAGCGGUGAAAUGCGUAGAUAUUAGGAAGAACACCAGUGGCGAAGGCGACUUUCUGGACAAUUACUGACACUGAGGAACGAAAGCGUGGGGAGCGAACAGG